Molecule: ribosomal RNA, 420 nt
Filed under: bacterium 28S213
Lineage: Bacteria
Description: bacterial SSU rRNA
Rfam family: Bacterial small subunit ribosomal RNA
Source: RNAcentral
CAUGGCUGUUUCCAGCUCGUGCCGUGAGGUGUUAGGUUAAGUCCUGCAACGAGCGCAACCCCUGUCACUAGUUGCCAUCAUUAAGUUGGGGACUCUAGUGAGACUGCCUACGCAAGUAGAGAGGAAGGUGGGGAUGACGUCAAAUCAUCACGGCCCUUACGCCUUGGGCCACACACGUAAUACAAUGGCCGGUACAGAGGGCAGCUACACAGCGAUGUGAUGCAAAUCUCGAAAGCCGGUCUCAGUUCGGAUUGGAGUCUGCAACUCGACUCUAUGAAGCUGGAAUCGCUAGUAAUCGCGCAUCAGCCAUGGCGCGGUGAAUACGUUCCCGGGCCUUGUACACACCGCCCGUCAAGCCAUGGAAGUCUGGGGUACCUGAAGUCGGUGACCGUAACAGGAGCUGCCUAUGGUAAACCAGAU